RNAcentral lists this ribosomal RNA (466 nucleotides) under uncultured bacterium. Its description in RNAcentral is "partial 16S ribosomal RNA". It matches the Rfam family "Bacterial small subunit ribosomal RNA", at positions 28 to 505 of the family's 1533-position model. The record is from RNAcentral.
GACGAACGCUGGCGGCGUGCUUAACACAUGCAAGUCGAACGGAAAGGCCCUGCUUUUGUGGGGUGCUCGAGUGGCGAACGGGUGAGUAACACGUGAGUAACCUGCCCUUGACUUUGGGAUAACUUCAGGAAACUGGGGCUAAUACCGGAUAGGAGCUCCUGCUGCAUGGUGGGGGUUGGAAAGUUUCGGCGGUUGGGGAUGGAGUCGCGGCUUAUCAGCUUGUUGGUGGGGUAGUGGCUUACCAAGGCUUUGACGGGUAGCCGGCCUGAGAGGGUGAACGGCCACAUCGGGUAUGAGAGGCGGCAGAGGCGCAUACGGGAGGAAGCAGUGGAGAAUAUUGCAGAAUGAGCGGGUGCGUGAUGCAGGCCCGCGGGGUGUGAAAUGACGGUGUUCGGGUUGAAAAGCGCUUGCGUCUGAGACGGAGCGUGUGACGCUGCAAUGAGAAAAAACGCAGCCUCUAUCUACG